CUGGAGACAAAGACCAAUCAAGACUUUCUCUGCCAUGGAGAGUUAAGAUCGCCAUGGUCAAAUUAUUUUCAUUCUGUCGAUAAAAUAAAAGGUCUUUACAAAAACAAAGUUGCUCUCUUUCAUGCCUGGAUUCACAUCUGCAUGCACACAUACGUGCACACUCAACACAAGGUUGUUCCAAGAUACUCAGAGUCCUCUCUUUGGGAUACUCUUCAUUGAUUAGGAGCACUAGGAAUAUUUAUACUGCCUACUCUCACUUACUUUAUAUGAUUACUAAAUGGUUUCUGUAAAAUAACAGGCGAAUUGCUCAACAUUGCUUUUUAAGGGACUAUGUCUUGACUUGUCAAAUUUAUGAGUGGCUAAAUUGCUUUAUGCACAUCUGAAAAAAUUACUUAUCCCAGAACAGGCAAGCUAACACAUUUGUAUUCAAGUUGAUUAGAGCUUUGUUUCGUUUCUGAGGAUUUUUUUUCUCGACAUAACAUUCCAGAAUGUGACUUUUUCUUCCCUCCUUUUUUCUCCUAUCUCUGUAGGAUGCAGGCAUGUCCACGGGCAGACUACAAUGGGCUCUGCCUUUUCUGUCCAGCUUCACUGUACCCUAAGGAGGCUGAGAGGAAGCUAACAAGAGUAUAGGAGGACUUUCCGGAAGCAACAAAGAACUUGAAGAAAGAUGCAUCUUCCUUCACUGGCACCACCCAAUCCCUUCAAUAAAAAAAAUCAAAAGAAAUCAAAAGGAGAGGAUAAAGACCUGCAUUAGAAUCACAUCUCCUCUACCUACCAGCCUUGUGAUUUUGGCAACAAACAGAUGGAGUUUAGGAUUGGUGAAUUCAAAUCAUCAAGCUCACAAACUGGGAGAAGAUGGACUGGGUCUAAGAACAGACUGCAUUGUUGAAGACAAAAUGAAAGGGUAA
RNAcentral lists this long non-coding RNA (908 nucleotides) under Felis catus (domestic cat). Its description in RNAcentral is "lncRNA (ENSFCAG00000043155.2)". The record is from RNAcentral. Lineage: Eukaryota; Metazoa; Chordata; Mammalia; Carnivora; Felidae.